GAGGAUUAAGCAUUUGGCUUGUAAGUCAUCCUCAUAGUGUCUAUCAUAAUUUUGACACUCCUCAUUUGGAGCUAGUUUCGUAGGAGGUACAUGAGGAGGGGAUUGCUUAAGCACAUACAAUAUGUCUUUCACCUUUGAGACAUUCUCAAUGUGGUGAUACCAAGCAAGGAAACGUUGGCCCCUAAGGCCCCUUUUGUCAAGUAUAAUGGUGGGUGUAAUUUUAGGCAUGUCGUUAACUACAUAACAUAACAGAAAUCGUAUUAGAUUGUUGUUUUAAAACUACUUGAUUGGGUCUUAAACCAAAUAGUACCACCCACUAUUUUUGGCAAAUUCCACAUCCCUCAAUGGAAUUCGAGAGUUGUGUUGAACUCUUAGCGGGGUAUAGGAGACUCACCAUUACCAAGCCCACCUCAGAAUUAUAUCAUUUUGGUUAGCAACAAUAAUGAUGAGAGGAUAACUCUUAGCCAUUUACAACUUUUGUAAUUACCCAUCUGUUUUGGCCUCUAGAGAAUGAUUGCCUCAUAAUUAUAUCAUUUUGGCACCAUUUCACUUAGUUAAGUCAUUCCCACCAUGCUAGUUAAUGUAGGGGUUCAAGCACAACCUCAGAAUUAUAUCAUGUUGGUCAUACUCGUUGUCUACACUUACUUCAUCAUAUAUAUUUAUGGACUCCUCCUGGAUGUAAGCACAUACUUUGAACUUUCCCAUUAUAGGGUGAAGCGGUGUAUGAGUCACAAACGAUUGGAGCCCACCACGGUGGAAGGCCUAUGAAGAGAUGUUCAAAACAUCUCUUGCUUAUCAACUUAAUAUUCGUUUUGUCGAGGGAGUAGUGUUGGGCUACAUUAAAUUUAUUUUAAUCUUAUUAAAAGAACUUGGGCCUAUCACAACCAUUGGUCCAAGUUAAUAUGAAUUAAUAGUAUAUAAUACUCCUACUAUUUCGAUGAAACAAGCGAGACUAUAUGGAACUACUAACGAAU
This 974-nucleotide long non-coding RNA is filed under the name Malus domestica (apple). RNAcentral's name for it is "long non-coding RNA (MDOM_LNC003878)". The record is from RNAcentral. Lineage: Eukaryota; Viridiplantae; Streptophyta; Magnoliopsida; Rosales; Rosaceae.